This 254-nucleotide ribosomal RNA is filed under the name uncultured bacterium. Its description in RNAcentral is "partial 16S ribosomal RNA". It matches the Rfam family "Bacterial small subunit ribosomal RNA", at positions 524 to 775 of the family's 1533-position model. The record is from RNAcentral.
UACGGAAGGGUGCAAGCGUUACUCGGAAUUACUGGGCGUAAAGCGUGCGUAGGUGGUUUGUUAAGUCUGAUGUGAAAGCCCUGGGCUCAACCUGGGAAUUGCAUUGGAUACUGGCAGGCUAGAGUGCGGUAGAGGGUAGUGGAAUUCCCGGUGUAGCAGUGAAAUGCGUAGAGAGUCGGGAGGAACAUCUGUGGCGAAAGCGGCUCACUGGACCGCAACUGACGCUGAGGCGCGAAAGCUAGGGGAGCAACAGG